RNAcentral lists this unclassified non-coding RNA (207 nucleotides) under Hevea brasiliensis (rubber tree). The record is from RNAcentral. Lineage: Eukaryota; Viridiplantae; Streptophyta; Magnoliopsida; Malpighiales; Euphorbiaceae.
GGUGAAGUGUGUGGUGGAAACAAUGAUUGUGUGGUUUUGUAAGCUGACAACAGCUGGAGUUCAUUGCGGUGGUGUUGGCCAUGGUAACGGUUGUGUUUCCUGUAAUGGUGGUGUCACUGAUGAUGGCAGUGAGGUAUUGGUGGUUGUGGUGGAAGGGUGGUUGCCAUUGCUACAAUGUGGUGGUGGGGGACCCAAUUGAAAAAUAAU